Molecule: ribosomal RNA, 1728 nt
Filed under: Campylobacter jejuni
Lineage: Bacteria; Pseudomonadati; Campylobacterota; Epsilonproteobacteria; Campylobacterales; Campylobacteraceae
Description: partial 23S ribosomal RNA
Rfam family: Bacterial large subunit ribosomal RNA
Source: RNAcentral
UGUGUGCAAGUGGUAGGAGAGCGUUCUAUUUGCGUCGAAGGUAUACCGGUAAGGAGUGCUGGAGCGAAUAGAAGUGAGCAUGCAGGCAUGAGUAGCGAUAAUUAAUGUGAGAAUCAUUAACGCCGUAAACCCAAGGUUUCCUACGCGAUGCUCGUCAUCGUAGGGUUAGUCGGGUCCUAAGUCGAGUCCGAAAGGGGUAGACGAUGGCAAAUUGGUUAAUAUUCCAAUACCAACAUUAGUGUGCGAUGGAAGGACGCUUAGGGCUAAGGGGGCUAGCGGAUGGAAGUGCUAGUCUAAGGUCGUAGGAGGUUAUACAGGCAAAUCCGUAUAACAAUACUCCGAGAACUGAAAGGCUUUUUGAAGUCUUCGGAUGGAUAGAAGAACCCCUGAUGCCGUCGAGCCAAGAAAAGUUUCUAAGUUUAGCUAAUGUUGCCCGUACCGUAAACCGACACAGGUGGGUGGGAUGAGUAUUCUAAGGCGCGUGGAAGAACUCUCUUUAAGGAACUCUGCAAAAUAGCACCGUAUCUUCGGUAUAAGGUGUGGUUAGCUUUGUAUUAGGAUUUACUCCGAAAGCAAGGAAACUUACAACAAAGAGUCCCUCCCGACUGUUUACCAAAAACACAGCACUCUGCUAACUCGUAAGAGGAUGUAUAGGGUGUGACGCCUGCCCGGUGCUCGAAGGUUAAUUGAUGGGGUUAGCAUUAGCGAAGCUCUUGAUCGAAGCCCGAGUAAACGGCGGCCGUAACUAUAACGGUCCUAAGGUAGCGAAAUUCCUUGUCGGUUAAAUACCGACCUGCAUGAAUGGCGUAACGAGAUGGGAGCUGUCUCAAAGAGGGAUCCAGUGAAAUUGUAGUGGAGGUGAAAAUUCCUCCUACCCGCGGCAAGACGGAAAGACCCCGUGGACCUUUACUACAGCUUGACACUGCUACUUGGAUAAGAAUGUGCAGGAUAGGUGGGAGGCUUUGAGUAUAUGACGCCAGUUGUAUAUGAGCCAUUGUUGAGAUACCACUCUUUCUUAUUUGGGUAGCUAACCAGCUUGAGUUAUCCUCAAGUGGGACAAUGUCUGGUGGGUAGUUUGACUGGGGCGGUCGCCUCCCAAAUAAUAACGGAGGCUUACAAAGGUUGGCUCAGAACGGUUGGAAAUCGUUCGUAGAGUAUAAAGGUAUAAGCCAGCUUAACUGCAAGACAUACAAGUCAAGCAGAGACGAAAGUCGGUCUUAGUGAUCCGGUGGUUCUGUGUGGAAGGGCCAUCGCUCAAAGGAUAAAAGGUACCCCGGGGAUAACAGGCUGAUCUCCCCCAAGAGCUCACAUCGACGGGGAGGUUUGGCACCUCGAUGUCGGCUCAUCGCAUCCUGGGGCUGGAGCAGGUCCCAAGGGUAUGGCUGUUCGCCAUUUAAAGCGGUACGCGAGCUGGGUUCAGAACGUCGUGAGACAGUUCGGUCCCUAUCUGCCGUGGGCGUAAGAAGAUUGAAGAGAUUUGACCCUAGUACGAGAGGACCGGGUUGAACAAACCACUGGUGUAGCUGUUGUUCUGCCAAGAGCAUCGCAGCGUAGCUAAGUUUGGAAAGGAUAAACGCUGAAAGCAUCUAAGCGUGAAGCCAACUCUAAGAUGAAUCUUCUCUAAGCUCUCUAGAAGACUACUAGUUUGAUAGGCUGGGUGUGUAAUGGAUGAAAGUCCUUUAGCUGACCAGUACUAAUAGAGCGUUUGGCUUAUCUUUAAUAAAGCAU